RNAcentral lists this non-coding RNA (95 nucleotides) under [Clostridium] cellulosi. RNAcentral's name for it is "Clostridium cellulosi c-di-GMP sequence". It matches the Rfam family "c-di-GMP-I riboswitch aptamer". From Rfam's summary of the family: GEMM was predicted in a large-scale screen for bacterial structured RNA regulatory elements. Genes associated with GEMM are involved in a diverse array of functions, including chemotaxis regulation, signal transduction, secretion and chitin. The record is from Rfam by way of RNAcentral. Lineage: Bacteria; Bacillati; Bacillota; Clostridia; Eubacteriales; Oscillospiraceae.
UUAAUAUUUUGGCAAACUUGUCAAAAGGCAAGGACGCAAAGCUUUAGGGCCUAAGGAUAUAUAUUAUUAUAUAUCUAUGGUUGCCAGUUGCAAUU